AACGAACGCUGGCGGCAUGCCUAACACAUGCAAGUCGAACGAGACCUUCGGGUCUAGUGGCGCACGGGUGCGUAACGCGUGGGAACCUGCCCUUAGGUUCGGAAUAACUCCCCGAAAGGGGUGCUAAUACCGGAUAAUGUCUUCGGACCAAAGAUUUAUCGCCUUUGGAUGGGCCCGCGUUGGAUUAGCUAGUUGGUAGGGUAAAAGCCUACCAAGGCGACGAUCCAUAGCUGGUCUGAGAGGAUGAUCAGCCACACUGGGACUGAGACACGGCCCAGACUCCUACGGGAGGCAGCAGUGGGGAAUAUUGGACAAUGGGCGAAAGCCUGAUCCAGCAAUGCCGCGUGAGUGAUGAAGGCCUUAGGGUUGUAAAGCUCUUUUACCCGGGAUGUUAAUGACAGUACCGUGAGAAUAAGCUCCGGCUAACUCCGUG
Molecule: ribosomal RNA, 433 nt
Filed under: uncultured bacterium
Lineage: Bacteria
Description: partial 16S ribosomal RNA
Rfam family: Bacterial small subunit ribosomal RNA
Source: RNAcentral